This 1493-nucleotide ribosomal RNA is filed under the name uncultured Gammaproteobacteria bacterium. RNAcentral describes it as "uncultured gamma proteobacterium 16S ribosomal RNA". It matches the Rfam family "Bacterial small subunit ribosomal RNA". Lineage: Bacteria; Pseudomonadati; Pseudomonadota; Gammaproteobacteria. The record is from RNAcentral.
AGAGUUUGAUCCUGGCUCAGGAUGAACGCUGGCGGCAGGCCUAACACAUGCAAGUCGAGCGAGAAAGCUCUUCGGAGUGAGUACAGCGGCGGACGGGUGAGUAACGCGUGGGAAUCUACCCAGUAACGGGGGAUAGCCCGGGGAAACUCGGAUUAAUACCGCUUACGCCCUACAGGGGAAAGCAUGGGAUCUUCCGACCUUGCACUAUUGGAUGAGCCCGCGUCUGAUUAGCUUGUUGGUGGGGUAACGGCCUACCAAGGCGACGAUCUGUAGCUGGUCUGAGAGGAUGAUCAGCCACACUGGGACUGAGACACGGCCCGACUCCUACGGGAGGUGGGGUGGGGAAUAUUGGACAAUGGGGGCAACCCUGAUCCAGCCAUGCCGCGUGUGUGAAGAAGGCCUUCGGGUUGUAAAGCACUUUCCCGGAGGAGGAAAGCCUGAUGGCUAAUACCCAUCGGGGGUGACGUUACUCGCAGAAGAAGCACCGGCUAACUCCGUGCCAGCAGCCGCGGUAAUACGGAGGAUGCAAGCGUUAAUCGUGAAUUACUGGGCGUAAAGCUGCGCGUAUGCGGCUGUUUAAGCUAGCUGUGAGUCCCCGGGCUCAACCUGGGAACUGCAGUUAGAACUGGGCAUCUAGAGUACAGUAGAGGAGUGUGGAAUUUCCUGUGUAGCGCUGAAAUGCGUACAUAUAGUGAGGAACAUCAGUGUCGAGAGCGACACUCUGGACUGAUACUGGCGCUGACGUGGAAAGCGAGAGGAUCAAACGCGAUUAGAUUCCAUGGUACUGCUCGCCCUAAACGAAGUCUAUUGAACCUUGCGAUUCGUGGAGUUUUCAGUGGAGCAGCUCACGCACUACAGUAGACCUCCUCGCGAGUACGGCCGCAAGGUUAGAACUCAAAUGAAUUGACGGGGGGCCGGCACAAGCGGUGGAGCAUGUGGUGUAAUUCGACGCAACGCGAAGAACCUUACCAGGUCUUGACAUCCUGAGAACUUUCUAGAGAUAGAUUGCAGCGUUCGGGAACUCAGUGACAGCAGCUGCAUGACCGUCGUCAGCUCGUGUCGUGAGAUGAUGGGUUAAGUCCCGUAACGAGCGCAACCCUUGUCGUUAGUUGCCAGCAUCGUAAUGGUGGGAACUCUAAGGAGACUGCCGGUGACAAACCGGAGGAAGGGGGGAUGACGUCAGGUCAUCAUGGCCCUUACGACCUGGGCUACACACGUGCUACAAUGGUCGGUACAGAGGGCAGCCAAUCCGCAAGGUGGAGCUAAUCCCACAAAACCGAUUGUAGUCCGGAUUCGAUUUUGCAAUUGGACUCCAGGAAGUGGGAAUCGUUAGUAAUCCAGAAUCACAAUGUCCCGGGGAAUACGUUCCCGGCCUUUGUCCCCCCCGCCCGUCCCCCCAUGGGAGUGGGUUGCACCAGAAGUGGUUAGUUUACCUUUCGGGAGGACGGUCACCCCGGUGGGAUUCAGGACUGGGGGGAAGUGGUACCAAGGUA